This 426-nucleotide ribosomal RNA is filed under the name uncultured eukaryote. Its description in RNAcentral is "SSU rRNA". It matches the Rfam family "Eukaryotic small subunit ribosomal RNA", at positions 592 to 1018 of the family's 1831-position model. The record is from RNAcentral.
CAAUAGCGUAUAUUAAAGUUGUUGCAGUUAAAAGCUCGUAGUUGGAUUUCUGGUGGGAGCGAUAUGCCCGCGCCGCAAGGCGUGUGAGCUUGUUCGUCUCCGGCCAUCCUUGGGGAAAACGUGCCUGGCAUUAGGUUGUCGGGUUCGGGAUCCUCAUCGUUUACUGUGAAAAAUUAGAGUGUUUAAAGCAGGCUUAUGCCGUUGAAUACAUUAGCAUGGAAUAAUAAGAUAGGACUUUGGUGGUCUAUUUUGUUGGUUUGCACACCAAGGUAAUGAUUAAUAGGGAUAGUUGGGGGUAUUCGUAUUCAAUUGUCAGAGGUGAAAUUCUUGGAUUUAUGGAAGACGAACUACUGCGAAAGCAUUUACCAAGGAUGUUUUCAUUAAUCAAGAACGAAAGUUAGGGGAUCGAAGACGAUUAGAUACCAU